This 618-nucleotide ribosomal RNA is filed under the name Dyadobacter fermentans. RNAcentral's name for it is "bacterial SSU rRNA". It matches the Rfam family "Bacterial small subunit ribosomal RNA", at positions 139 to 754 of the family's 1533-position model. The record is from RNAcentral. Lineage: Bacteria; Pseudomonadati; Bacteroidota; Cytophagia; Cytophagales; Spirosomataceae.
GGGGAUAGCCCGGGGAAACCCGGAUUAAUACCGCAUAAAACAGGGGCACCGCAUGGUGAUAUUUGUUAAAGAUUUAUUGGUGAUAGAUGGGCAUGCGUUCGAUUAGCUAGUUGGCGGGGUAACGGCCCACCAAGGCGACGAUCGAUAGGGGAGCUGAGAGGUUGAUCCCCCACACGGGCACUGAGAUACGGGCCCGACUCCUACGGGAGGCAGCAGUAGGGAAUAUUGGGCAAUGGAUGCAAGUCUGACCCAGCCAUGCCGCGUGCCGGAUGAAGGCCCUCAGGGUUGUAAACGGCUUUUAUUCGGGAAGAAGAGCAGGGAUGCGUCCUUGUGUGACGGUACCGAAUGAAUAAGCACCGGCUAACUCCGUGCCAGCAGCCGCGGUAAUACGGAGGGUGCGAGCGUUGUCCGGAUUUAUUGGGUUUAAAGGGUGCGUAGGUGGCUGUUUAAGUCAGUGGUGAAAUACGGUUGCUCAACAAUCGAGGUGCCAUUGAUACUGAAUAGCUUGAAAUAAUUGGAGGCUGCCGGAAUGGAUGGUGUAGCGGUGAAAUGCAUAGAUAUCAUCCAGAACACCGAUUGCGAAGGCAGGUGGCUACGAUUGGUUUGACACUGAGGCAC